Mirounga angustirostris (Northern elephant seal) is the source of this 726-nucleotide long non-coding RNA. RefSeq lists it as uncharacterized. The transcript is spliced from 3 exons. The record is from RefSeq and is a predicted model, not a curated record. NCBI's taxonomy places the organism in Eukaryota, Metazoa, Chordata, Mammalia, Carnivora, Phocidae.
UUCUUACCUCUAUUCCAAUUCAUUACGAGCCUAGCAACAGGAGUGGUAUUUUCAAUUCUCAAAUACAGCCACAUUACCUCCCUGGUGAACUCUUCACUGGUUAUAAUCCUACAAUGAAGCCAAACUCUUCAGUGUGGCAAAGGUAGAAGAUUCAGAAAUAGGUCCAAAGUUGGAUGAGAUGGAAGGAAUUUUGCAUGGAAAGCUGACUGCCAAACAUCUGAUUGGACUGGAUGUGCUUUGAUGCUACAUCAUGAAGAUUUUCUACGGUUUAUUACAGGUAAUUCAGGGGUUAUAAUGGUGAGACUGUUUCAUGGAUGGAGACAUCUGAGACUCGAGACGCACCACUCAUCCAUGGAUCACUCACUCUGCCACACCCUCUUCAUUUCAUAAAUUUCGGGAAACAUUUUGGCCAGACCAUUUGUGGAUGGAGCAAUUUGAAACACAGGACAGUUCAUGAUUUGUCUGAAUCUUAUUCAAAACUUGCGACUGAGUUUGUAACUGCUCUACAACAUGCUAAAAAGCAAUAAAGAUGUUCCUAAAUCUUUAGAAGAACAGUGAUUUAAACCUCAAAAUUGUGGGGCAAUAACAAAGAAAUUGGAGUUUAAUGUAAUUUCUGUAUUAAAUAGGGAACCCUUUCUAGUCGUUCAGUGGAAUUGAAGUAUAUAAGAUUUUAAAGAAAAAAAGUCAACCAAAUAAAGUGUCUAUUUUAUAGAUCAAUUAGCUCUU